Molecule: transfer RNA, 70 nt
Filed under: Loxodonta africana (African savanna elephant)
Lineage: Eukaryota; Metazoa; Chordata; Mammalia; Proboscidea; Elephantidae
Rfam family: tRNA
About the family: Transfer RNA (tRNA) molecules are approximately 80 nucleotides in length. Their secondary structure includes four short double-helical elements and three loops (D, anti-codon, and T loops).
Source: Rfam by way of RNAcentral
UCGGUGGUGGUUCAGUGGUAGAAUUUUUGCCUUCAUGUGGGAGCCCUGGGUUCAAUUCCCAGCCAAUGUA